This 107-nucleotide ribosomal RNA is filed under the name Streptococcus suis. Lineage: Bacteria; Bacillati; Bacillota; Bacilli; Lactobacillales; Streptococcaceae. The record is from RNAcentral.
GAUAGCCUAGGAGAUACACCUGUACCCAUGCCGAACACAGCAGUUAAGCCCUAGAACGCCUGAAGUAGUUGGGGGUUGCCCCCUGUUAGAUACGGUAGUCGCUUAGC